Molecule: ribosomal RNA, 253 nt
Filed under: uncultured bacterium
Lineage: Bacteria
Description: partial 16S ribosomal RNA
Rfam family: Bacterial small subunit ribosomal RNA
Source: RNAcentral
UACAGAGGUCUCAAGCGUUGUUCGGAUUCAUUGGGCGUAAAGGGUGCGUAGGUGGCGUCGUAAGUGGGGUGUGAAAUCCCGGGGCUUAACCCCGGGACUGCAUUCCAUACUGCGGUACUUGAGGACUGGAGAGGAGACUGGAAUUUACGGUGUAGCAGUGAAAUGCGUAGAGAUCGUAAGGAAGACCAGUGGCGAAGGCGGGUCUCUGGACAGUUCCUGACACUGAGGCACGAAGGCCAGGGGAGCAAACGGG